GUGACUUCUUUGGUAAAUUGGAGGCCAUGAAAAUGUUUAACAUUGUAACAUAUGGCUAAUAAAUAUUACACAUUGUAAAAGAGAUGCCUGCUGGCUUGCUUAGGUAUGGCUUCUUAUUUUAUAGGGCCAUCCUUUUCGUUGUUGUCUCUGAUGACAGUACUACCUAAAACAGGGCAGCUAUUCUUUUCAUUGGAAAUCCAAACUGCGUAUUUUAAUGUCACCUCAGCCCUUCCAAUACUUUCUUUCUCUCUUGCACAACCUCAUCUGAAUCUUGUCUUUUUUCUAUUUCUUUUCCUGACUUCCUCAAUCUACACAACACCACAGCAGGCAAAGGAAUGGUCGAUACGGCCUAUGCCAGCCUUGCUCGCAACAAAGGGCUUGACCAGUGAGCUGUCCUAAGCUCACAAAACCCAUGGGGCUGGUCAAAGCUUGGUCAGAGAUAGCCCAAAAAGCUAUGCAGGGUCAGGUAGGGAGGAGGAGGAGAUAAGGGUAGGUUUCUACAUGCUUUGGUUUUGGGUCUUG
This 522-nucleotide long non-coding RNA is filed under the name Sorghum bicolor (sorghum). Its description in RNAcentral is "long non-coding RNA (SBIC_LNC002189)". The record is from RNAcentral. Lineage: Eukaryota; Viridiplantae; Streptophyta; Magnoliopsida; Poales; Poaceae.